This 1372-nucleotide ribosomal RNA is filed under the name uncultured bacterium. RNAcentral describes it as "bacterial SSU rRNA". It matches the Rfam family "Bacterial small subunit ribosomal RNA", at positions 28 to 1381 of the family's 1533-position model. The record is from RNAcentral.
GAUGGACGCUGGCGGCGUGCCUAAUACAUGCAAGUCGAGCGAACGGACGAGAAGCUUGCUUUUCUGAUGUUAGCGGCGGACGGGUGAGUAACACGUGGAUAACCUACCUAUAAGACUGGGAUAACUUCGGGAAACCGGAGCUAAUACCGGAUAAUAUUUUGAACCGCAUGGUUCAAAAGUGAAAGACGGUCUUGCUGUCACUUAUAGAUGGAUCCGCGCUGCAUUAGCUAGUUGGUAAGGUAACGGCUUACCAAGGCAACGAUGCAUAGCCGACCUGAGAGGGUGAUCGGCCACACUGGAACUGAGACACGGUCCAGACUCCUACGGGAGGCAGCAGUAGGGAAUCUUCCGCAAUGGGCGAAAGCCUGACGGAGCAACGCCGCGUGAGUGAUGAAGGUCUUCGGAUCGUAAAACUCUGUUAUUAGGGAAGAACAUAUGUGUAAGUAACUGUGCACAUCUUGACGGUACCUAAUCAGAAAGCCACGGCUAACUACGUGCCAGCAGCCGCGGUAAUACGUAGGUGGCAAGCGUUAUCCGGAAUUAUUGGGCGUAAAGCGCGCGUAGGCGGUUUUUUAAGUCUGAUGUGAAAGCCCACGGCUCAACCGUGGAGGGUCAUUGGAAACUGGAAAACUUGAGUGCAGAAGAGGAAAGUGGAAUUCCAUGUGUAGCGGUGAAAUGCGCAGAGAUAUGGAGGAACACCAGUGGCGAAGGCGACUUUCUGGUCUGUAACUGACGCUGAUGUGCGAAAGCGUGGGGAUCAAACAGGAUUAGAUACCCUGGUAGUCCACGCCGUAAACGAUGAGUGCUAAGUGUUAGGGGGUUUCCGCCCCUUAGUGCUGCAGCUAACGCAUUAAGCACUCCGCCUGGGGAGUACGACCGCAAGGUUGAAACUCAAAGGAAUUGACGGGGACCCGCACAAGCGGUGGAGCAUGUGGUUUAAUUCGAAGCAACGCGAAGGACCUUACCAAAUCUUGACAUCCUUUAACAACUCUAGAGAUAGAGCCUUCCCCUUCGGGGGACAAAGUGACAGGUGGUGCAUGGUUGUCGUCAGCUCGUGUCGUGAGAUGUUGGGUUAAGUCCCGCAACGAGCGCAACCCUUAAGCUUAGUUGCCAUCAUUAAGUUGGGCACUCUAAGUUGACUGCCGGUGACAAACCGGAGGAAGGUGGGGAUGACGUCAAAUCAUCAUGCCCCUUAUGAUUUGGGCUACACACGUGCUACAAUGGACAAUACAAAGGGCAGCGAAACCGCGAGGUCAAGCAAAUCCCAUAAAGUUGUUCUCAGUUCGGAUUGUAGUCUGCAACUCGACUACAUGAAGCUGGAAUCGCUAGUAAUCGUAGAUCAGCAUGCUACGGUGAAUACGUUCCCGGGUCU